AGUCACUGACAUUAGAUACCCCUGUAGUCCAGGGUGUAAACGCUGCAGACUUGGUGUUGGGAACCCUUCGGGGGUGCUCAGUGCCGGAGAGAAGUUGUUAAGUCUGCUACUUGGGGAGUACGUCCGCAAGGAUGAAACUUAAAGGAAUUGGCGGGGGAGCACCGCAACGGGAGGAGCGUGCGGUUUAAUUGGAUUCAACGCCGAAAAACUCACCAGCAGCGACUGUUACAUGAAAGUCAGGUUGAUGACCUUACUAGAUUUUCAG
RNAcentral lists this ribosomal RNA (265 nucleotides) under uncultured archaeon. RNAcentral's name for it is "partial 16S ribosomal RNA". It matches the Rfam family "Archaeal small subunit ribosomal RNA", at positions 718 to 982 of the family's 1478-position model. The record is from RNAcentral.